AGUGAACGCUGGCGGUAGGCCUAACACAUGCAAGUCGAACGGCAGCACAGUAAGAGCUUGCUCUUACGGGUGGCGAGUGGCGGACGGGUGAGGAAUACAUCGGAAUCUACUUUUUCGUGGGGGAUAACGUAGGGAAGCUUACGCUAAUACCGCAUACGACCUACGGGUGAAAGCAGGGGAUCUUCGGACCUUGCGCGAUUGAAUGAGCCGAUGUCGGAUUAGCUAGUUGGCGGGGUAAAGGCCCACCAAGGCGACGAUCCGUAGCUGGUCUGAGAGGAUGAUCAGCCACACUGGAACUGAGACACGGUCCAGACUCCUACGGGAGGCAGCAGUGGGGAAUAUUGGACAAUGGGCGCAAGCCUGAUCCAGCCAUACCGCGUGGGUGAAGAAGGCCUUCGGGUUGUAAAGCCCUGUUGUUGGGAAAGAAAAGCAGCAGGUUAAUACCCCGCUGUUCUGACGGUACCCAAAGAAUAAGCACCGGCUAACUUCGUG
This 492-nucleotide ribosomal RNA is filed under the name uncultured bacterium. RNAcentral describes it as "partial 16S ribosomal RNA". It matches the Rfam family "Bacterial small subunit ribosomal RNA", at positions 29 to 507 of the family's 1533-position model. The record is from RNAcentral.